Schistosoma mansoni is the source of this 45-nucleotide non-coding RNA. The record is from Rfam. NCBI's taxonomy places the organism in Eukaryota, Metazoa, Platyhelminthes, Trematoda, Strigeidida, Schistosomatidae.
AUCCAGUUGACGAGUUCGAAACAGGACGAAACGAGAGUCUUGGAU